This 253-nucleotide ribosomal RNA is filed under the name uncultured bacterium. RNAcentral's name for it is "partial 16S ribosomal RNA". It matches the Rfam family "Bacterial small subunit ribosomal RNA", at positions 524 to 776 of the family's 1533-position model. The record is from RNAcentral.
UACAGAGGUCCCAAGCGUUGUUCGGAUUCAUUGGGCGUAAAGGGUGCGUAGGUGGCGUCGUAAGUCAGGUGUGAAAUUUCGGAGCUUAACUCCGAAACUGCAUUUGAUACUGCGGUGCUUGAGGACUGGAGAGGAGACUGGAAUUUACGGUGUAGCAGUGAAAUGCGUAGAGAUCGUAAGGAAGACCAGUGGCGAAGGCGGGUCUCUGGACAGUUCCUGACACUGAGGCACGAAGGCCAGGGGAGCAAACGGG